Molecule: ribosomal RNA, 2841 nt
Filed under: Triticum aestivum (bread wheat)
Lineage: Eukaryota; Viridiplantae; Streptophyta; Magnoliopsida; Poales; Poaceae
Description: partial small subunit ribosomal RNA
Source: RNAcentral
CAUCCGCGGCGGGGAGGGGACGCCGUUGGUGGAUGGGGAAGGGACGAGGCGAGGCGAGGGCGGACGGUGGUGGUGAGAUGCGGCGGCGGUAGGGGGCGCUGUCGGGCGACGGGAUGUGGAGGGCAGGACGAGGCCGGUGGUGCUGAGAGGAGGUAGCAGUAGGGGACGCUGUCGGGGGAUGGGGUGUGGAGGGCAGGCCGAGGCCGGUGGUACUAGAGGACGCCGCCAGGGGAUGGGGUGUGGACGCUGUCGGGGGAUAGGUUAUGGACGGCAAGCGGCGAUCGGUGGUGUGGUAGGGAACGCUGUCGGGGGUGACGUUGGGGACGGUAGGCGGCGGCUGGAGGUAGCGAGAGGAAGCAGCGGUGGAGGUGACGGACCCGAUUAUACGGACCGACGCAAAGCCCGCUUUAUUAGAACGCCCUCUGCCUGAAUUAAACGAAGACAAGCACGCCGUCCGCGUCAGAUUUUCCUCAUUAAAAAAAGGCUUCCUCAGACAGACAACUCUUCAACAUUAGUCCUAGGAGAAGGAGAGGAGAUUAUUAGAGGAGAAGGAGAGGAGAUUAUUAGAGGAGGGAAAACAUCCUUAACACGUUAGCCCCUUCUCUUUUCUAUCCAGAUCCCGUGUAGAUCUAUACGAGAUCAAUAACGUGUAGAUUCACUCACUUAGUUCGUAUUUCUCCUUUCUUUUUUUCUUUUUCUUUUAUAGGUGUGCUUAGUGUUACAUUCUAGUUACUGUAUUCUGAAUCUACACGUUAUGAAUACCGUGUAGAUCUACACGGAAUCGUUUUGACUUUUCUAUUUAAAGACAAACACGCCGCUCCCGACAGGUUUUCCUCCUUAAAAAAGACCCAGAUAAUUCCUCAACAUUAGUCCUAGGAGGGGGGAGAGGAAAUUAUAGAGGAGGGAAGACCUGAUCUCGACCGGAAUUAUUUAUCUCUCAGCCUCCUCAUCCUUCCCCGGGAGCAGCUAGCUUAUUCAACCGUAGGGACUAAACUAAAAACGGCCACUAAUCAGAGGAAACAACGCGGCCGGAUUUAUUCGUCUCCUCCUCAUCAUCCCCCUAAGCUUAUACCCGUCUAGUCCGUAGGCGGCGAACAGCGUCUAGGUUAUUCCAGCUAGGUUUAUCAAGUCCGCAGAGUAGUAGUUCUUGUCAAAAAAGUUGUUCUGGUCAACUAGACUAGUCGGUACUACUUCUUUUCUGCAGUGGCGUCUUUGUUACAUUUACGUUGUGUCUUUCGUUGGGAGUUGUUUCUGCGACGACCGUCGCUUCUUCAGCCUCUGUCCGAAUCGUUCGACGGAUUACUGUAAGAUGAGUUGUAAGACCUCUCCCACCUGUGCGAGCUACGUUAUUACUGGACGUAGGAUAGUUUCGCUUACUACUUCGAGAUGUGGUUCGAGAGCGUCAAGAAGGAUUCAACAUCAAGGUAAGAUCCAGUGUUACAAUCUUGGUUGUCACUUAUACAGUCUUGGUUGUCACAACACCGAGUACAUUGCCUAUUAUAGAACUCGUGUUUCUCAGGCCUCUAGUGGUAAUCGUUUGAGUUUUAGUCUAAGUAGAACUACGUUGGACUAACAAUGUGUUAACUGUUUAGACAGCGGGCGUGGUACCGUUGUGUCUUCCAACCACGUCGACUCAAACUCUAGUAUUGUCUCUUUUAAGUAUUCUUCACAAGAGGACGGCUAGAGGAGAUAGUACGCUUCGUCAAGUUACUAAAAAAGUCACGAACAGACCUACGUAAACGACCGGAGUUCGCGGACACCGACGCGUUAUACUCCAAACCACUUGAUCUGUAUGGGUUGUAGGAGUGGUGAACGUUCGAGAACCUCAGAAACGUAAAUUGGUUAACGCUGAGCCCCUACUUAAGACACCACGUUGAUCUUGUACGAUUUGAAUGACUCGAGCUCCAGCUCAUACCCUUUAAACUCUAUCAACUCGACUGUACAGAUGGUUUUGAGGUUGCCCACUCGAUAUUCCCGACCAAGUUGAGAGUAUUUCCAGGGGACAUAAAACCAAAACAUGGUGUCGAAAGUUUCGACUCCGAACGAUUUUAACCGUGGGCUGGUUGAUCCUGAGAACUCAAUUCAGUCGAGGAACCAUUACAAGGAAUGUAUCCGUUGGACGUAGACCUAAAAGUUUCACUUUUCUAAACCCAAGACGGUCUUUCGAGCUUCGACGAGUCCGGACACGAGUCGGUUGAUGUCGUCCACUUAGACCUGUUAGAAAGACUUCCUACACUAAAUCGAACCGUUACAAAUAAUAACUUCGACGUGGCAGGGAUUUUCUCGAGACGUAGUGUCAGAACCUAGUAACCACGUUAUACCACUACUCUCUGUUUCUCAAGGCCUUCUUGUUACCAAAGACACUUUUCCGUCUGCACCUCACCUUCGGUGGGGGGACUAAAGUUCGUGUUCUUAGACCAAUUCGAGUGGUAGAUACCGAAGGUUGGACUGCUGUAGAAACACGCUAAGUAGUCCACACAGUACCUUGUACGCCUAUUAUACCGUCUCUAUAGAGACGUACUGUCCUUCUUCCAUACAGACGCGACACCACAGAACCUAGGACUCUACUUCAUGGGUAGCUCCAUAGGUGCCUUACGACUACUUGCGUGUGUAUAGUGACUUCUUAACCCCUCCAGAAACGGACGAUACCAAGCGAAGACCUGCAUUAAUUGUUUUUCUCUACAUGAUGGAUCAUAAUCAUGAUCAAACGUUUAGGAGACUUGAUAUUAAAUCAUCAUGAGAACGAAAGGAAACUUAACUUCGAUACACUUCACAAACAGAUUACCUCUUUUAUAAAUCAUUUAAAAAUCUCAUAAAACUGUAAAAACCUAACCCUAUUCG